AGGCCCGGGAGAUCUGGCAGCUGGAGUUCGACGCGCUGCGCCGCGUCGGGGCCUGCUGGGUACUGACCAACCACCCGUUCCUGACCGGACGGGCUUC
This 97-nucleotide transfer RNA is filed under the name Mycolicibacterium senegalense. RNAcentral's name for it is "tRNA-???(gc)". Lineage: Bacteria; Bacillati; Actinomycetota; Actinomycetes; Mycobacteriales; Mycobacteriaceae. The record is from RNAcentral.